GAUGAACGCUGGCGGCGUGCUUAACACAUGCAAGUCGAACGGUAAAGGCGGAGCUUGCUCUGCUGGAUCAGUGGCGAACGGGUGAGUAACACGUGAGCAAUCUGCCCCUGACUCUGGGAUAAGCGCUGGAAACGGCGUCUAAUACUGGAUACGAGCUGCGAAGGCAUCUUCAGCAGCUGGAAAGAACUUCGGUCAGGGAUGAGCUCGCGGCCUAUCAGCUUGUUGGUGAGGUAACGGCUCACCAAGGCGUCGACGGGUAGCCGGCCUGAGAGGGUGACCGGCCACACUGGGACUGAGACACGGCCCAGACUCCUACGGGAGGCAGCAGUGGGGAAUAUUGCACAAUGGGCGAAAGCCUGAUGCAGCAACGCCGCGUGAGGGACGACGGCCUUCGGGUUGUAAACCUCUUUUAGCAGGGAAGAAGCGAAAGUGACGGUACCUGCAGAAAAAGCGCCGGCUAACUACGUG
This 468-nucleotide ribosomal RNA is filed under the name uncultured bacterium. Its description in RNAcentral is "partial 16S ribosomal RNA". It matches the Rfam family "Bacterial small subunit ribosomal RNA", at positions 28 to 507 of the family's 1533-position model. The record is from RNAcentral.